Molecule: unclassified non-coding RNA, 404 nt
Filed under: soil metagenome
Description: partial contains 5.8S ribosomal RNA, internal transcribed spacer 2, and large subunit ribosomal RNA
Rfam family: 5.8S ribosomal RNA (bases 1-122)
Source: RNAcentral
GAUGAAGAACGCAGUAAAAUGCGAUACUUGGUGUGAAUUGCAGAAUCCCGUGAACCAUCGAGUUUUUGAACGCAAGUUGCGCCCGAAGCCUUUUGGCCGAGGGCACGUCUGCCUGGGCGUCACGCAUCGCGUCGCCCCCCACAACUCUCCGUAAAGGGAACUUGUGUUUUGGGGGCGGAUAUUGGUCUCCCGUGCUCAUGGCGUGGUUGGCCGAAAUAGGAGUCCCUCCGGUGGACGCACGAACUAGUGGUGGUCGUAAAAACCCUCGUCUUUUGUUUCGUGCCGUUAGUCGCGAGGGAAACUCUUUAAAAACCCAAAUGUGUCGUCUCUUGACGGCGCUUCGACCGCGACCCCAGGUCAGGCGGGACUACCCGCUGAGUUUAAGCAUAUCAAUAAGCGGAGGA